This 497-nucleotide ribosomal RNA is filed under the name uncultured bacterium. RNAcentral's name for it is "partial 16S ribosomal RNA". It matches the Rfam family "Bacterial small subunit ribosomal RNA", at positions 28 to 507 of the family's 1533-position model. The record is from RNAcentral.
GAUGAACGCUGGCGGCGUGCCUAAUACAUGCAAGUCGAGCGAACGGACGAGAAGCUUGCUUUUCUGAUGUUAGCGGCGGACGGGUGAGUAACACGUGGAUAACCUACCUAUAAGACUGGGAUAACUUCGGGAAACCGGAGCUAAUACCGGAUAAUAUAUUGAACCGCAUGGUUCAAAAGUGAAAGACGGUCUUGCUGUCACUUAUAGAUGGAUCCGCGCUGCAUUAGCUAGUUGGUAAGGUAACGGCUUACCAAGGCAACGAUGCAUAGCCGACCUGAGAGGGUGAUCGGCCACACUGGAACUGAGACACGGUCCAGACUCCUACGGGAGGCAGCAGUAGGGAAUCUUCCGCAAUGGGCGAAAGCCUGACGGAGCAACGCCGCGUGAGUGAUGAAGGUCUUCGGAUCGUAAAACUCUGUUAUUAGGGAAGAACAUAUGUGUAAGUAACUGUGCACAUCUUGACGGUACCCAAUCAGAAAGCCACGGCUAACUACGUG